This 509-nucleotide long non-coding RNA is filed under the name Pongo abelii (Sumatran orangutan). RNAcentral's name for it is "lincRNA". Lineage: Eukaryota; Metazoa; Chordata; Mammalia; Primates; Hominidae. The record is from RNAcentral.
AAUCUCAAGCUUCUAGAAAUCUGGCACAGAGUAUUCACCAAAGAACUGAAUACUCCUUUGCAGUCAGACCAUGUGUUCCAGACAACAUAACUAGAAAGAUGUGAGAAGGCACUUCACAUGGGAGAUAAGCCUUGUUUUACUUAAUCCACUGGGAUGUCAGAGUUAAUUGUUACAGCAGCAGCCUGUUGUAUAGGCUGACUAACACAUGGUAACAAAGAGAACACUUUGGAUUCUUGACAAAAUAAGAUCAAGAAAGCAGCAGCAGAAGCAGAAUUCAGAGGUGUGAGAAACCAAAGGCAACAGAGCAAGAUCUACUCUCUACACAUUGACAUCCUGCUGUCUCUCAGGGAGAGUAACCCACAUGAACCAUACCAGUGGUUCCCAUCCAGGACAGUUCCCACUCACCUCCCCAGGGACACUUGGAAAUAUCUAGAGACAUUUUUGCAUAUCACAAAAUGCAAAACAAAAAAAAAUGUACCCUGCAAAGCCACAAGAGCAGAGCAGACCAA